RNAcentral lists this ribosomal RNA (138 nucleotides) under uncultured eukaryote. Its description in RNAcentral is "partial 18S ribosomal RNA". It matches the Rfam family "Eukaryotic small subunit ribosomal RNA", at positions 1299 to 1458 of the family's 1831-position model. The record is from RNAcentral.
UGGUGGAGCGAUUUGUCUGGUUAAUUCCGAUAACGAACGAGACUCUGGCCUAUUAAAUAGUUCGCCGAUUCCGAUCUGUCGGCGUUAACUUCUUAGAGGGACAAGCGGCUUUUAGCCACGCGAGAUUGAGCAAUAACA